Myotis brandtii (Brandt's bat) is the source of this 76-nucleotide non-coding RNA. Lineage: Eukaryota; Metazoa; Chordata; Mammalia; Chiroptera; Vespertilionidae. The record is from Rfam.
GAGACACCCUUAUGGAGCAGGACUUGCUUCAGUGGGGCUUUGGUGCUCACUGAGUCUGUUUCUUAAGUGUGUCCCU